AAAAUAAAAGAACAAAGUUCAGCCACGGACGUACGUGCAGCCACAUCCAUGGCUACACGGUGCGUUCGUGCGUAUCCGACUCGAGUGCAUCGACCCAAUCAGCACACCCGUGCUUCGUAGACAAGAGCACAACCACAUGAUCAGAUUUUUAUUACUACAAGAGCCAAUUUUAAGUGGAUAGCCUUGCCUCCUUGUGCCCCUGCCCUUGCCCAUGGCCCUACUGCCUCCCCUGUUGCUGCCGCUGCCCCCACUCCCACUGCUACCCCCUAUUACUGCCGCUGCCAUUGCCACUGCCUUGCCCCUGCUGAUUAGCUUAUUAGGGGAUUGGGGACAGAUGGUUUUUUAUUAAUAAAUUUGUGUAGGAGUUUGUUUGGGAUUGAUAUUUCUCAUAUUACUUGUUUGAGAUCACGUUAUGACUAAUAUGCUAUUAUGCUCACUGAAACAAUAUAGCUAUUGAGUUAUUUAUUUACC
Long non-coding RNA from Quercus lobata, 471 nucleotides. RefSeq lists it as uncharacterized. The record is from RefSeq and is a predicted model, not a curated record. The transcript is spliced from 2 exons. NCBI's taxonomy places the organism in Eukaryota, Viridiplantae, Streptophyta, Magnoliopsida, Fagales, Fagaceae.